RNAcentral lists this transfer RNA (72 nucleotides) under Marmota marmota marmota (Alpine marmot). It matches the Rfam family "tRNA". Rfam says of the family: Transfer RNA (tRNA) molecules are approximately 80 nucleotides in length. Their secondary structure includes four short double-helical elements and three loops (D, anti-codon, and T loops). RNAcentral also lists the same sequence under 1 other name. The record is from Rfam by way of RNAcentral. Lineage: Eukaryota; Metazoa; Chordata; Mammalia; Rodentia; Sciuridae.
GGGGAUGUAGCUCAAUGGUAGAGUGCUUGCCUAUCAUGCAUGAGGCUCUGGGUUCCAUUCCCAGUACCAUCU